Molecule: ribosomal RNA, 358 nt
Filed under: uncultured bacterium
Lineage: Bacteria
Description: partial 16S ribosomal RNA
Rfam family: Bacterial small subunit ribosomal RNA
Source: RNAcentral
CCUACGGGUGGCAGCAGUAGGGAAUAUUGCUCAAUGGGGGAAACCCUGAAGCAGCAACGCCGCGUGGAGGAUGAAGGUCUUCGGAUUGUAAAAUCCUUUUGUGAGAGAAGAUAAGGAUGGGAUCUAACGAAUAAGCACUGGCUAACACCGAGCCAGCAGCCGAGGAAAUACGGAGGGUGCAAGCGUUACGCGGAAUCACUGGGCGUAAAGAGCGCGUAGGCGGGAUAGCAAGUCAGAUGUGAAAUCCUAUGGCUUAACCAUAUAACUGCAUUUGAGACUGUUAUUCUAGAGUAUGGGAGAGGGAGGUGGAAUUCUUGGUGUAGGGGUGAAAUCCGUAGAGAUCAAGAGGAAUACUCAU